Haliotis rubra (blacklip abalone) is the source of this 136-nucleotide long non-coding RNA. RefSeq lists it as uncharacterized. Lineage: Eukaryota; Metazoa; Mollusca; Gastropoda; Lepetellida; Haliotidae. The record is from RefSeq and is a predicted model, not a curated record. The transcript has 3 exons.
CCUGCGUUGGAAGUAGCAUCUCGUGUGUUGCCAGUGGUACUUGUGGUCCCGUAGUCCUUCUCGAUUGUCCAAGUGGUCUAGUUUGCUGUGCCGUACCGCCCACGACCACAACACCACAGCCCACGACUACACCUAC